UUGCUCUUCAACGAGGAAUGCCUAGUAAGCGCAUGUCAUCAGCAUGCGUUGAUUACGUCCCUGCCCUUUGUACACACCGCCCGUCGCUACUACCGAUUGAAUGGCUCAGUGAGGCCUUCGGACUGGCUCGAAAAGGUUGGCAACGACCACUUCGAGCCGGAAAGUUGGUCAAACUCGGUCAUUUAGAGGAAGUAAAAGUCGUAACAAGGUUUCCGUAGGUGAACCUGCGGAAGGAUCAUUACCUAGAGUUGUAGGCUUUGCCUGCUAUCUCUUACCCAUGUCUUUUGAGUACCUUCGUUUCCUCGGCGGGCCCGCCCGCCGAUUGGACAUAUUCAAACCCUUUGCAGUUGCAAUCAGCGUCUGAACAAACUUAAUAGUUACAACUUUCAACAACGGAUCUCUUGGUUCUGGCAUCGAUGAAGAACGCAGCGAAAUGCGAUAAGUAGUGUGAAUUGCAGAAUUCAGUGAAUCAUCGAAUCUUUGAACGCACAUUGCGCCCCCUGGUAUUCCGGGGGGCAUGCCUGUUCGAGCGUCAUUUCACCACUCAAGCCUCGCUUGGUAUUGGGCAACGCGGUCCGCCGCGUGCCUCAAAUCGUCCGGCUGGGUCUUCUGUCCCCUAAGCGUUGUGGAAACUAUUCGCUAAAGGGUGUUCGGGAGGCUACGCCGUAAAACAACCCCAUUUCUAAGGUUGACCUCGGAUCAGGUAGGGAUACCCGCUAAACUUAAGCAUAUCAAUAAGCGGAGGA
Molecule: ribosomal RNA, 746 nt
Filed under: uncultured fungus
Lineage: Eukaryota; Fungi
Description: eukaryotic LSU rRNA
Rfam family: Eukaryotic small subunit ribosomal RNA (bases 1-241)
Source: RNAcentral